RNAcentral lists this RNase P RNA (374 nucleotides) under Myxococcota bacterium. Its description in RNAcentral is "RNase P RNA component class A". It matches the Rfam family "Bacterial RNase P class A". From Rfam's summary of the family: Ribonuclease P (RNase P) is a ubiquitous endoribonuclease, found in archaea, bacteria and eukarya as well as chloroplasts and mitochondria. Lineage: Bacteria; Pseudomonadati; Myxococcota. The record is from RNAcentral.
AGGGCGGUCCUGGCGGUCGCCGGGAACCCUUCGGGGUUCCUGGAGGAAAGUCCGGGCUCCGCAGGGCAGGGUGCCGGGCCAAUCCCGGCGGGGGCAACCCCAGGGACAGUGCCACAGAAACCGGACCGCCGGUCCCCUUCGGGGCGGCCGGCAAGGGUGAAACCGUGGGGUAAGAGCCCACGGGCGUCCCCGGUGACGGGGACGCCGGCAAACCCCACCCGGAGCAAGGCCGAACAGGGGAAGGAUGGCCCGUCCGAGACCCCGGGUCAGGCCGCUGGAGGCGAGGCGGAAGCCUCGCCCGAGAGGAAUGAUCGCCACGAGGUUCCCGGCGACGGGACCCUCGGACAGAACCCGGCUUACGGGCCGCCCUGACC